AGGAUGAACGCUGGCGGCGUGCUUAACACAUGCAAGUCGAACGAUGAACCUCACUUGUGGGGGGAUUAGUGGCGAACGGGUGAGUAACACGUGAGUAACCUGCCCUUAACUCUGGGAUAAGCCUGGGAAACUGGGUCUAAUACCGGAUAUGACUCCUCAUCGCAUGGUGGGGGGUGAAAGCUUUAUUGUGGUUUUGGAUGGACUCGCGGCCUAUCAGCUUGUUGGUGAGGUAAUGGCUCACCAAGGCGACGACGGGUAGCCGGCCUGAGAGGGUGACCGGCCA
RNAcentral lists this ribosomal RNA (283 nucleotides) under uncultured soil bacterium. Its description in RNAcentral is "partial 16S ribosomal RNA". It matches the Rfam family "Bacterial small subunit ribosomal RNA", at positions 26 to 310 of the family's 1533-position model. The record is from RNAcentral.